AUCCCUGACUCUGGAGAGUCCCUGAAAACAGGGCGCCGAAGGUGUACGAGUGGAAAAAGAUGGCAGAGCCGUCCCGCUUAAUCUCUCAGGCAAAAGGACAGAGCAUUCUAU
Firmicutes bacterium CAG:534 is the source of this 111-nucleotide regulatory RNA element. It matches the Rfam family "Glycine riboswitch aptamer". From Rfam's summary of the family: This family represents the bacterial glycine riboswitch. Glycine riboswitches usually consist of two metabolite-binding aptamers domains with similar structures in tandem. The aptamers cooperatively bind glycine to regulate the expression of downstream genes. Lineage: Bacteria; Bacillati; Bacillota. The record is from Rfam.